Molecule: ribosomal RNA, 520 nt
Filed under: uncultured Glomus
Lineage: Eukaryota; Fungi; Glomeromycota; Glomeromycetes; Glomerales; Glomeraceae
Description: SSU rRNA
Rfam family: Eukaryotic small subunit ribosomal RNA
Source: RNAcentral
AGCAGCCGCGGUAAUUCCAGCUCCAAUAGCGUAUAUUAAAGUUGUUGCAGUUAAAAAGCUCGUAGUUGAAUUUCGGGGUUAGUAGGUUGGUCAUGCCCCUGGUAUGUACUGGUCUCACUGAUUCCUCCUUCCUUAUGAACCGUAAUGCCAUUAAUUUGGUGUUGCGGGAAAUUUGGACUGUUACUUUGAAAAAAUUUAGAGUGCUUAAAGCAAGCUAACGCUUGAAUACAUUAGCAUGGAAUAAUGAAAUAGGACGUUCGAUCUUAUUUUGUUGGUUUCUAGGAUUGACGUAAUGAUUAAUAGGGAUAGUUGGGGGCAUUAGUAUUCAAUUGUCAGAGGUGAAAUUCUUGGAUUUAUUGAAGACUAACUACUGCGAAAGCAUUUGCCAAGGAUGUUUCCAUUAAUCAAGAACGAAAGUUAGGGGAUCGAAGACGGUCAGAUACCGUCGUAGUCUUAACCAUAAACUAUGCCGACUAGGGAUCGGGUGAUGUUAAUUUUUUAAUGACUCAUUCGGCGCCUU